CCUGCCUAUUUCCGGUUCCCGCCCCGAGCCACUUCCGGCGCGCGGCAGCAGAGAGCCGCGAGGGCCGCGCGAGGCAACCAUGGCAACGGCGACCACCAAGGUGCCUGAGGUCCGGGACGUGACCAGGAUCGAGCGCAUCGGUGCCCACUCCCACAUUCGAGGCCUGGGCUUGGAUGAUGCCUUGGAACCACGGCAGGUAAGG
Molecule: long non-coding RNA, 202 nt
Organism: Dryobates pubescens (Downy woodpecker)
Lineage: Eukaryota; Metazoa; Chordata; Aves; Piciformes; Picidae
Exons: 3
Source: RefSeq, a predicted model, not a curated record